GAGGGUCGGAUGGCUGCGGCGCGCAAGCGUCGAGGAAAGUCCGGGCUCCACGGAGACAGGACGGCGGGUAACGCCCGCCCGGAGCGAUCCGAGGGAAAGUGCCACAGAAAGGAAACCGCCUGACAUGUCAGGUAAGGCUGAAAGGGUGCGGUAAGAGCGCACCGCGCGCGCGGUAACGCAAGCGGUCACGGUAAACCCCGUCCGGAGCAACGUGAAAUAGGGAUCGGUUAAGGGUGUCUCUCCCAGCGAUCCGGGUACACGGCACGAGGCUGUCGGUAACGGCAGUCCCAGAUGAAUAGUCAUCACGCAGGGCUCGCCCAGCGUACAGAACCCGGCUUACAGACCCUCUGGU
This 352-nucleotide RNase P RNA is filed under the name marine eukaryotic metagenome. RNAcentral describes it as "Bacterial RNase P class A". It matches the Rfam family "Bacterial RNase P class A". From Rfam's summary of the family: Ribonuclease P (RNase P) is a ubiquitous endoribonuclease, found in archaea, bacteria and eukarya as well as chloroplasts and mitochondria. Its best characterised activity is the generation of mature 5'-ends of tRNAs by cleaving the 5'-leader elements of precursor-tRNAs. Cellular RNase Ps are ribonucleoproteins. The record is from RNAcentral.